Molecule: long non-coding RNA, 1488 nt
Organism: Onthophagus taurus
Lineage: Eukaryota; Metazoa; Arthropoda; Insecta; Coleoptera; Scarabaeidae
Source: RefSeq, a predicted model, not a curated record
UUCCUUUGUUACUGUUUUUCUUUUUGAAGUAAAGCACGUUGAGGUGAUGAAGAGGGGAAAAGAUUCAGGAAAAAGCAUAGGAAUAAAAAGAGAUGAGGGCCGAAGGAGAUCAUGAGAGAACCGAGGUGUUCUGGUCGAGCACGCCCGAGACAUGUGUGCAAGUUGUAAUUAGAUGCAGGAUGAAAGGGAAGCGUGCUUAUCUAAUUAAUUGCCCGUUUGAUUUUGUUGCGCGAACAGAGCUUGGAACGGGGCCAAUUUAUGCAAAAUAAAAGGAAAUCGACAGCUUAACGAAAAUGGAAUAGCGAGAAAUCGGAAAUGAGCUGGUGACUUUAGUUAAUUGUGAUGGAUCGUUUCCAGUACAAAUAAUAAUCCGGCAAGAAUCGUAUAAUUUUAUUUUUCAGUUUGAAAAAGCUUUGUUUUAAUUCUGGAAUCAUUUAUUCUAAUUAACAGAAAUGGUUCUUAAAAGCCAAAUAACUAAAAUAGAUAGUGCAUCGAUGAGCCAGUUUUAAUUUAGCUUGAUGUUUAUUAUUAGAUACUUGAAUAGAGCUGAUUAAUUUUUAUUACAAAUUUUACAAACAAAGUCACUGCACCAUAGAAGCUAGUAAAAGAAAUUAUGUAAUUAUUAAUGUAUAGAUAUUACCAUUUUGUCGGCAAUAUCUAAUAGAAGAGAAUCUGCCGAUUUAAUACCAACAUUGUUAUCAACUAAGUAAGUCAUCAACAUAAGCAGUAAUAACUACAAAUAACAUUUUUGACUUAAAUCAAUGAUUUAUCACAAAACAUAUCGACAAAUUCAAUUUUGGUGUUUUAUCUUGGUGUUGAUAACAAAACUAGAAGAACUGAAUCGAAAAGCAAACAAAACUUGGGGGUUAUGACGUGCUUCUAUUGAAAAAUUGUUUGACGUUUCGAGUACUAUGUUAGAACUUUCUUCAGAAACAAGUUCAAAAGUACUGACAAAACAACUGUGUUCGGUUUUCCUACUUCCAUGUUUCUUGAGGUAUUUGAUUAAGAACUAUGCCUAUACAUAUCCAGCGUACUCUUAGACAAGAUGUUAAGAAGUCAAAUUGAACAAUUGACAUCAUUACCAGAAAGAGAUAUUUUGUUGGCCAUGAUGAAAGACAUUCAAAGAAACGUUACCCAGCUUUUUGAACACUACUCAAACAGAACAGUCUAAUAAGUCAUCAUCUUAUCAUCAUCCACAACAGAAGAGGUCCACAAACAACGCAAGCAAAAGGAAGACUCGAUGUAUUCCAUCUGGUUUGGGAAAAUGUACUGGUGGCAUAAUCCAAUUAAUUCCUAGGAGGUGUACCGUAUCAAGACAUCGCGAGCAACUUCAAGAAUUUACUAUUGGCAUUGAUUCAGCUUUUGACGCAUUUAAUUGACGAUCUAUGGGAUUGGUCAAGUCUGUUGAGUAUAUCAUCCAUAGUCAGGUUGUUAUCGUACUCGGUGCUGUAAUCGGAUUGGAGUGAUUGUUUUGGAUGAAGUCGUCAU